AAUGUUUCAAAUUAACAAGCAUUUCAAAAGACUGUUAUGAAUUGAUAGUAAAUUUAAAGAAAGGAACUAAAAAAGUAGAAAAAGUAAAAGCUUUAUGAGCUUGUUUCAGAGAUAUAAGCCCUUGAAAAUUUGUCGGGAAAUUAUUCUACAUAGAUUUUCCAUAUAUUUGAAAUUGAUAUCUGUUUAUCUUUUACAAACUAUGAAAAAAACAGGAAUUUUGUAAAAUUUUCAAGUAAGCCAACUACAUUUAAUUAUUAUAUAAGGAAAAGAAAGGAUUAGCUGACAAAGACUUUUGGACUACGUGGAGAUAACCAGAGGAUUUCGAAAAGCUGAUAAUUAAUUUCGGGGCUUUUAUAGCUGACAAUGCGGUAUUGGCUCUGCUCAUUGUUGAAGGCCGUACGGUGUUCUAUAGUUGUUAAUUUCUGUGUUAUUUUGGUCUCUUGUGGAGAUUUGUCUCAUUGGCAAUCAUACUACAUCUUAUUUUUUUUUUAAUAAUAAUUCAAAAAACAAGAGUAGCGAACAUCCUUAAUCUUUAAAAAGAAAAAAAGUGUUAUAACUCGAAGUUCACAGGUAGGAGAACUUUUCAAUAGAUAUUAUAAACCGGAAUUGGACAUAACCUAACUAUAAAAAAAUUUCAUGAAAAAAUCUGAAACUAAACGUAAUUAUUUUCACAAAAUAAAAGUUAACAUGAAAAGUACAUUAAGAAUGAAUUGCAACUUAAAUGUUUUUACGCCUUAUGUGUUGCAUAGCAAUCUAGCAUCAGGUACUAGUAUACUCGAUCAAAUAGAAGGGGGAAAAUAUGGUACGAUUGCACAUGAAAAAAAUCUUCACAAAUGACACAGAAAUUAACAACUAUAGGUCACCGUACGGCCCUUCAACAAUGAGUAAAGCCAAUACCGCAUGGUCACCUAUAAAAGGCUCCGAAAUGAUAAAUGUAAAACAAAAAAUAAAUAAUAAGUAAAUGUAUGUUAAUAUCUAUACAAAUUUGUUGCUAGACCCGAG
Molecule: long non-coding RNA, 1002 nt
Filed under: Mytilus galloprovincialis (Mediterranean mussel)
Lineage: Eukaryota; Metazoa; Mollusca; Bivalvia; Mytilida; Mytilidae
Source: RNAcentral